UACGGGGGGGGCAAGCGUUGUUCGGAAUUACUGGGCGUAAAGGGCGCGUAGGCGGCCGUUUGCGUCGGAUGUGAAAGCCCGGGGCUCAACCUCGGAACGGCAUUCGAUACGGGACGGCUGGAGACCGGGAGAGGAGAGUGGAAUAGCCAGUGUAGAGGUGAAAUUCGUAGAUAUUGGCUGGAACACCGGUGGCGAAAGCGGCUCUCUGGCCCGGUUCUGACGCUGAGGCGCGAAAGCGUGGGGAGCAAACAGG
RNAcentral lists this ribosomal RNA (253 nucleotides) under uncultured bacterium. RNAcentral describes it as "partial 16S ribosomal RNA". It matches the Rfam family "Bacterial small subunit ribosomal RNA", at positions 524 to 776 of the family's 1533-position model. The record is from RNAcentral.